UUCUUAUCAAGUUUGAUGGAUGUUAUUGUCGUGUUUGAUUUGUUGGAUUGAAUUUGUUUAUGUCGGGUUAAUAAAGUUUUCAAUUAAUUAAAUUGAAAGUCACUAAACAAAUGGUACAAACUUAUAAGCCAAAAUGUAUAAUAAACACAACCUUCUAAAGGGAAAAUAUGACAAACUAAUUAAUUUUUUUGGUAAAAGGAAUGAUGCUAUGGAUGUUAAUCAAUUCACAUAUAAUCCUUUUUGUUUAAGAUGUGAUCAUAACACAUUGUGUCAAUAUCCUUUUGGAUUGUGUUAUCUGAUAAUAAUGUAUGGACACAAAUACAUGAGAGUAUAAAAUUAAUAAGUUUUCAGGCAUAACUCGGUAGGUUGUCUAGUAGUCUGCAUGUUGAGAUGUGACUUUUCUGAAGGAUAUUGAGCUUACUGCAAAAACUGUAAGUAAUUUUCAUCAACUGAGGGGAAAUUCUAACUUGGUUAUAUGCAGAAAGAGUGCAAGGUCUCUCUAUGUUCAUCUUAAUCAGUGAUUCUAUAUAUUGUAAGCGAAACAAGCCUUUCCCAGUUUUUCCCUAAAGAGGCAACACAAUGAAGAAAUCUAAUUUAUAUUAAAAUUCCCUUGCUUCUAGACAAGCUCUUGAUUCCAUACAAUAAUCCUUUAUGCUUGGAAAAAUAAUUAAAUUCUGUUUGUACCAUUCUUUUCAACAGAAUGAUAAAUAUUGGUUGUUCAAAUGGCACAUACAAAUUAAAUCUAAUUGGAUCACCUGUAUUCCAUGCAUAUGGCUCAAAUCCUUGAUACUUUUCAAAUUAGUAGAGCGGAAUAAAAAAAAGUUCUUAUUGUUGAAGAAGUGCUGAUCUUAAUUCUUACAAGCUGCUGCUAUCUGCUUAGUUGCUGCUAUACUUACUUCCGUAGUUUUGUCUUGCUCAAGUACUAUUUUUGUAAAUUGAGGCCUCAAACAUAAGGCUUGAUGCAGUAUAUAACAUGUGAGAAGGAGCCUCAGGCAUAAAUAAAGGCUUGUUGCAUAUGGCAGCUAACUACAGUAUAUUAUCCGUGAUUUUCAGUAUAAGUAAAUAAACUAAGACUUAUCUUCAUAGGCUGUAUACAAUAUGAAAUAGUCCUGAUUGUCCUGUUUCAUUGAACAAUAUGAAAAUUCACUUGUAUGUUCUAUUUGCUGUAUACCUUAAG
Molecule: long non-coding RNA, 1177 nt
Filed under: Medicago truncatula (barrel medic)
Lineage: Eukaryota; Viridiplantae; Streptophyta; Magnoliopsida; Fabales; Fabaceae
Description: lncRNA gene17209
Source: RNAcentral